Molecule: non-coding RNA, 73 nt
Organism: Leucoraja erinaceus (little skate)
Lineage: Eukaryota; Metazoa; Chordata; Chondrichthyes; Rajiformes; Rajidae
Source: the annotation of a RefSeq genome assembly
GUCAGGAUAGCCGAGUAGUCUAAGGCGCCAGCCUCAAGAACUGGGGGUGUGGGUUCGAAUCCCACUUCUGACA